GAAAGCACAGGAGAAUGUUGUUGGAUUUUAACAUUGUUGACAACUCUAGCAUCUUACAUUUUAGACCGAGACUACAAUUGCAAAAUUGUACUAGCUAGGGUUGAUAUUUUUGUCAACUGUCACUUUUUUUUUUUUUGCAGCCAUUCACCAAGUGAUUUUUGCCUGAACGCAGUGCACAUUUUCUCCAUGAACAUCUCCAAAUCAAGUUAUAAAGGAACUUCAGGAUAAUGAUAAUGAUGUCAUGAUAUAUUAGGAACUCUUCAUUUGGCAGCAUACAGCAGGCAAUCCACUUUAAGGUGCAGGGUGAAGAGGAAAACCUGUCAUCCUGAAAAAUAAAAUACAUGCAUUCGUGUGGAAAGAUGACUCAGGCUAUCCAAACAGGAUUAGCAGAAAAUGGACACCCAUAUAAAUCAGAGGCUCUGUUGCUUGGUAAUGCACAAUGCCAACUCCUCAAGAACAGUAAUUAACUAUAGUAUGGCUAUAAUAAUAUGUAAGUAUAACAUAUUUGGAAGUAAUUGGAAGUAAAUUGCACCUAUAAGUGCUUCGUCUCAGAUUCCUCCAUCCAAUGCUUGGGGCUAAAUUGUUCUCCAAUGAAUUUUUCAAUUUCAACAGUCUUUGACUGUGCAUUCUUAAAAUAUAUUGGUGUGUGAAAAUGGUGUAAAUAUUAUUGCACACCCAGGAUCAUCUUUUCAAAAGCACUUGUUCAUCCUUUUUUUUUUUUUUUUGCCCCUCUGCCUUGGUAACUACGCGGCCAAUACCACUUCAAGCCUAUUUGUCCAUCUUUCUCCUCUAUCUUGCUGGGUGGUUAAUUUUCUAUUUUCUGUUCAGAUUGGUAGCACAAAAGCAAAAGUGUGUGGUGUAGAUGGGGGAGAAAUUUUCACUUGUUCUUUUUUGUCCCCA
Molecule: long non-coding RNA, 900 nt
Organism: Crotalus tigris (Tiger rattlesnake)
Lineage: Eukaryota; Metazoa; Chordata; Lepidosauria; Squamata; Viperidae
Exons: 3
Source: RefSeq, a predicted model, not a curated record